GUCUAUGGCCCUACCUCCUUGAAUGCCCCGAUCCUGUCUGAUCUCAGAAGCUAAAGCAGGGUUGAAUCUGGUUAGGAUUAAGUGGGAAUAAUCAGGCAUAAGUG
RNAcentral lists this ribosomal RNA (104 nucleotides) under Tupaia belangeri (northern tree shrew). Lineage: Eukaryota; Metazoa; Chordata; Mammalia; Scandentia; Tupaiidae. The record is from RNAcentral.